RNAcentral lists this ribosomal RNA (468 nucleotides) under uncultured bacterium. RNAcentral's name for it is "partial 16S ribosomal RNA". It matches the Rfam family "Bacterial small subunit ribosomal RNA", at positions 28 to 507 of the family's 1533-position model. The record is from RNAcentral.
GACGAACGCUGGCGGCGCGCUUAACACAUGCAAGUCGAACGGAAAGGCCCUGCUUUUGUGGGGUGCUCGAGUGGCGAACGGGUGAGUAACACGUGAGUAACCUGCCCUUGACUUUGGGAUAACUUCAGGAAACUGGGGCUAAUACCGGAUAGGAGCUCCUGCUGCAUGGUGGGGGUUGGAAAGUUUCGGCGGUUGGGGAUGGACUCGCGGCUUAUCAGCUUGUUGGUGGGGUAGUGGCUUACCAAGGCUUUGACGGGUAGCCGGCCUGAGAGGGUGACCGGCCACAUUGGGACUGAGAUACGGCCCAGACUCCUACGGGAGGCAGCAGUGGGGAAUAUUGCACAAUGGGCGGAAGCCUGAUGCAGCAACGCCGCGUGCGGGAUGACGGCCUUCGGGUUGUAAACCGCUUUCGCCUGUGACGAAGCGUGAGCGACGGUAAUGGGUAAAGAAGCACCGGCUAACUACGUG